AGAGUUUGAUCCUGGCUCAGGAUGAACGCUAGCGGCAGGCUUAACACAUGCAAGUCGAGGGGCAGCGGGGAGGAAGCUUGCUUUCUCCGCCGGCGACCGGCGCACGGGUGAGUAACACGUAUGCAACCUGCCCCUGUCAGGGGGACAACCCGCCGAAAGGCGGGCUAAACCCGCGUACAUGCCACCGGGGCAUCCCGGAGGCAGGAAAGGCUUCGGCCGGACAGGGAUGGGCAUGCGGCGCAUUAGGCAGUAGGCGGGGUAACGGCCCACCUAACCGACGAUGCGUAGGGGUUCUGAGAGGAAGGUCCCCCACACUGGUACUGAGACACGGACCAGACUCCUACGGGAGGCAGCAGUGAGGAAUAUUGGUCAAUGGUCGGGAGACUGAACCAGCCAAGCCGCGUGAGGGAGGAAGGUACAGAGUAUCGUAAACCUCUUUUGUCAGGGAACAAAGGCGGGGACGUGUCCCCGGAUGAGUGUACCUGAAGAAAAAGCAUCGGCUAACUCCGUGCCAGCAGCCGCGGUAAUACGGAGGAUGCGAGCGUUAUCCGGAUUUAUUGGGUUUAAAGGGUGCGCAGGCGGUCUGUUAAGUCAGCGGUCAAAGCCCGGGGCUCAACCCCGGCCCGCCGUUGAAACUGGCAGUCUCGAGUUGGAGAGAAGUAUGCGGAAUGCGCGGUGUAGCGGUGAAAUGCAUAGAUAUCGCGCAGAACUCCGAUUGCGAAGGCAGCAUGCCGGCUCCACACUGACGCUGAGGCACGAAAGCGUGGGUAUCGAACAGGAUUAGAUACCCUGGUAGUCCACGCAGUAAACGAUGAAUGCUGGCUGUCCGGGGGGACUGACCCCUGGGUGGCGAAGCGAAAGCGAUAAGCAUUCCACCUGGGGAGUACGCCGGCAACGGUGAAACUCAAAGGAAUUGACGGGGGCCCGCACAAGCGGAGGAACAUGUGGUUUAAUUCGAUGAUACGCGAGGAACCUUACCCGGGCUCAAACGGGGAGUGGCGCAGGCAGAGACGCCUGUUUCCCACGGGACACUCCCCGAGGUGCUGCAUGGUUGUCGUCAGCUCGUGCCGUGAGGUGUCGGCUUAAGUGCCAUAACGAGCGCAACCCCCGCGUGCAGUUGCUAACAGAUAACGCUGAGGACUCUGCACGGACUGCCGGCGCAAGCCGCGAGGAAGGCGGGGAUGACGUCAAAUCAGCACGGCCCUUACGUCCGGGGCGACACACGUGUUACAAUGGGUGGUACAGCGGGAAGCCAGGCGGCGACGCCGAGCGGAACCCGAAAUCCACUCUCAGUUCGGAUCGGAGUCCGCAACCCGACUCCGUGAAGCUGGAUUCGCUAGUAAUCGCGCAUCAGCCAUGGCGCGGUGAAUACGUUCCCGGGCCUUGCACACACCGCCCGUCA
This 1402-nucleotide ribosomal RNA is filed under the name uncultured bacterium. RNAcentral's name for it is "16S ribosomal RNA". It matches the Rfam family "Bacterial small subunit ribosomal RNA". The record is from RNAcentral.